Molecule: ribosomal RNA, 484 nt
Filed under: uncultured bacterium
Lineage: Bacteria
Description: partial 16S ribosomal RNA
Rfam family: Bacterial small subunit ribosomal RNA
Source: RNAcentral
AUUGAACGCUGGCGGCAUGCUUUACACAUGCAAGUCGAACGGCAGCGCGGGCUUCGGCCUGGCGGCGAGUGGCGAACGGGUGAGUAAUGCAUCGGAACGUGCCCAGUCGUGGGGGAUAGCCCGGCGAAAGCCGGAUUAAUACCGCAUACGACCUGAGGGUGAAAGCGGGGGACCGAAAGGCCUCGCGCUAUUGGAGCGGCCGAUGUCGGAUUGGCUAGUUGGUGGGGUAAAGGCUUACCAAGGCGACGAUCCGUAGCUGGUCUGCGAGGACGACCAGCCACACUGGGACUGAGACACGGCCCAGACUCCUACGGGAGGCAGCAGUGGGGAAUUUUGGACAAUGGGGGCAACCCUGAUCCAGCCAUGCCGCGUGCGGGAAGAAGGCCUUCGGGUUGUAAACCGCUUUUGUUCGGGAAGAAAUCCUCUGGGCUAAUACCCCGGGGGGAUGACGGUACCGGAAGAAGAAGCACCGGCUAACUACGUG